AAGAAAGUGACAGAGUGGUAAUGUGGCUGGCUUGAAACUAGCAUGUGGGGGUUCAAUUCCUUCCUUUCUUG
RNAcentral lists this transfer RNA (71 nucleotides) under Hemigaleus microstoma (sicklefin weasel shark). Its description in RNAcentral is "tRNA-Ser". It matches the Rfam family "tRNA". From Rfam's summary of the family: Transfer RNA (tRNA) molecules are approximately 80 nucleotides in length. Their secondary structure includes four short double-helical elements and three loops (D, anti-codon, and T loops). Lineage: Eukaryota; Metazoa; Chordata; Chondrichthyes; Carcharhiniformes; Hemigaleidae. The record is from RNAcentral.